AACGAGACGGGAUGGAAUGACCCUUCGGGGGAAUGAAAUCCUAGAAAGUGGCGAACGGGUGAGUAACGCGUGGGUAACCUGCCCUAUGGAAAGGAAUAGCCUCGGGAAACUGGGAGUAAUGCCUUAUAAUAUACGAGAGUCGCAUGGCUUUUGUAUUAAACGCUCCGGUGCCAUAGGAUGGACCCGCGUCCCAUUAGCUAGUUGGUGAGAUAACAGCCCACCAAGGCAACGAUGGGUAACCGGUCUGAGAGGGCGAACGGUCACACUGGAACUGAGACACGGUCCAGACUCCUACGGGAGGCAGCAGUGGGGAAUAUUGCGCAAUGGGGGCAACCCUGACGCAGCAAUACCGCGUGAGUGAAGAAGGUUUUCGGAUCAUAAAGCUCUGUUAUUGGGGAAGAAAAAAGACGGUACCCAAGAAGAAAGUCCCGGCUAACUACGUGCCAGCAGCCGCGGUAAUACGUAGGGGACAAGCGUUGUCCGGAUUUACUGGGCGUAAAGGGCACGCAGGCGGUUUUUUAAGUCAGAUGUGAAAGGUACCGGCUCAACCGGUGACAUGCAUUUGAAACUGAAAGACUUGAGUAUUGGAGAGGCAAGUGGAAUUCCUAGUGUAGCGGUGAAAUGCGUA
Molecule: ribosomal RNA, 628 nt
Filed under: uncultured Acetobacterium sp.
Lineage: Bacteria; Bacillati; Bacillota; Clostridia; Eubacteriales; Eubacteriaceae
Description: bacterial SSU rRNA
Rfam family: Bacterial small subunit ribosomal RNA
Source: RNAcentral